UUAAGAGCUUGCUCUUAUGAAGUUAGCGGCGGACGGGUGAGUAACACGUGGGUAACCUGCCCAUAAGACUGGGAUAACUCCGGGAAACCGGGGCUAAUACCGGAUAACAUUUUGAACCGCAUGGUUCGAAAUUGAAAGGCGGCUUCGGCUGUCACUUAUGGAUGGACCCGCGUCGCAUUAGCUAGUUGGUGAGGUAACGGCUCACCAAGGCAACGAUGCGUAGCCGACCUGAGAGGGUGAUCGGCCACACUGGGACUGAGACACGGCCCAGACUCCUACGGGAGGCAGCAGUAGGGAAUCUUCCGCAAUGGACGAAAGUCUGACGGAGCAACGCCGCGUGAGUGAUGAAGGCUUUCGGGUCGUAAAACUCUGUUGUUAGGGAAGAACAAGUGCUAGUUGAAUAAGCUGGCACCUUGACGGUACCUAACCAGAAAGCCACGGCUAACUACGUGCCAGCAGCCGCGGUAAUACGUAGGUGGCAAGCGUUAUCCGGAAUUAUUGGGCGUAAAGCGCGCGCAGGUGGUUUCUUAAGUCUGAUGUGAAAGCCCACGGCUCAACCGUGGAGGGUCAUUGGAAACUGGGAGACUUGAGUGCAGAAGAGGAAAGUGGAAUUCCAUGUGUAGCGGUGAAAUGCGUAGAGAUAUGGAGGAACACCAGUGGCGAAGGCGACUUUCUGGUCUGUAACUGACACUGAGGCGCGAAAGC
RNAcentral lists this ribosomal RNA (705 nucleotides) under Bacillus anthracis (anthrax bacterium). RNAcentral describes it as "bacterial SSU rRNA". It matches the Rfam family "Bacterial small subunit ribosomal RNA", at positions 72 to 760 of the family's 1533-position model. Lineage: Bacteria; Bacillati; Bacillota; Bacilli; Caryophanales; Bacillaceae. The record is from RNAcentral.